AGUUUGUUAUUGGUGUGAGCUUUCGUGUGCAUGCAAGAAGAAGAAGUGUGCAUGCACACAAAAGCUCAUACCAAUAACAAACU
This is a non-coding RNA of Podarcis lilfordi (Lilford's wall lizard), 83 nucleotides long. NCBI's taxonomy places the organism in Eukaryota, Metazoa, Chordata, Lepidosauria, Squamata, Lacertidae. The record is from the annotation of a GenBank genome assembly.